AGUGAACGCUGGCGGUAGGCUUAACACAUGCAAGUCGAACGGCAGCACAGGAGAGCUUGCUCUCUGGGUGGCGAGUGGCGGACGGGUGAGGAAUACAUCGGAAUCUACUCUGUCGUGGGGGAUAACGUAGGGAAACUUACGCUAAUACCGCAUACGACCUACGGGUGAAAGCAGGGGACCUUCGGGCCUUGCGCGAUUGAAUGAGCCGAUGUCGGAUUAGCUAGUUGGCGGGGCAAAGGCCCACCAAGGCGACGAUCCGUAGCUGGUCUGAGGGGAUGGGCGGCCACACGGGAACCGAGACACGGUCCAGACUCCUACGGGAGGCAGCAGUUGGGAAUAUUGGGCAAUGGGCGCAAGCCUGAUCCAGCCAUACCGCGUGGGUGAAGAAGGCCUUCGGGUUGUAAAGCCCUUUUGUUGGGAAAGAAAUCCAGCUGGCUAAUACCCGGUUGGGAUGACGGUACCCAAAGAAUAAGCACCGGCUAACUUCGUGCCAGCCGCCGCCGUAA
RNAcentral lists this ribosomal RNA (506 nucleotides) under uncultured bacterium. Its description in RNAcentral is "partial 16S ribosomal RNA". It matches the Rfam family "Bacterial small subunit ribosomal RNA", at positions 29 to 523 of the family's 1533-position model. The record is from RNAcentral.